RNAcentral lists this long non-coding RNA (3763 nucleotides) under Canis lupus familiaris (dog). RNAcentral's name for it is "lncRNA (ENSCAFG00000058291.1, ENSCAFG00805008519.1)". Lineage: Eukaryota; Metazoa; Chordata; Mammalia; Carnivora; Canidae. The record is from RNAcentral.
CUAAUAGAAGUAUUUAGAGCUAUAAUUUUCCCUCAGCAACUACUUUCUCUAAACCUUCUGACAUUUGUAAUAAACUUUUUCCCCCCUGCCCAGCACCAGGCUGCAAGAUACAAACUCACCUCCCUCUCUCUUCUUUUCUUCCAGUCCAGGGGAGCAGAAAGGGGGAGAAGCAAUGACACAAGGAGAGUGCCACAGGCCUGUGUCUGAUUUCUAGCUUUAUCUCGAGUAGCUUCUAGGUAAGAGCAAAUUGCUACUGAGAAGUUUAGAAAAUACAGAUGAGCAGAUUUAAAUUCCAUUCAGAUACUCCUAACCAGGUGUGCUUUAUGCACAAUAGCUCAGAGGCCUGUCUGCUGUUGCAGAGGUUGCGGAGUGCAGGAUUAUUGAGUUAUUCAGUUUUGUGAGUCUCCUCCUGAUGCGUCUUUUUUGGCUAAAUCACAAUCUGACCAACAUGAAGCAUCUGCUAGUUCUCCCAGCCUCUCGACCAAACAGCAUCUAAUAUGUACCACAUGAACCUGGGCCUCUGCGGAGGUCAUUAGAGGAGGCUGAGCUCACUGCAGCUCUGAUAGCCUGCAGCUUGAAAUCUGAGUGUCUUUAUUACUCAGGGGUGAACACCAGCCCAUCAAUGGAGAAGGGAACAGAACCUGGAUAUCCUGGGGCCUAAUCUCAUUCCUGUGCAGUGGUUGCUUGGUUUAUUCCCUGGGUGUGACUAAUUAAAAUUCUCCUGCUGUGAUUUUCUUUUCUAGGAGGCUGAGUCUGAAUCUCAACUAUAAUUCUGACAUCUUGCAGUGAUUGCGCACUCAAAAAUGCUCUAUUUAAAUUAUUCAGGCAACUAUAAACUUCGAGUGGUUGCUUGUUCCUGCAGAAGCAGAAAUUUAUCUUUCUAAAAAAAGAAGUAACAAAUAAUUCCUUUAUUUUACAUUUUUGGUUAAAUAUUUAUAUUAGAGCUAUUUUUUGCCAUCAUAUUACUGAGAAAGUCUUCUAAUACAGCUUCUUUUGUUAGCAAACUUAUAUGUGCAUCCUACUCCCUUGACCUUACUAUAUUGUGCCUUACAGGUUUUUUUUUUAAAUAUAAAUAAGCAUUUGUUUUAGUCCCUGAGACAUUCUAAGAUAAUUAAGUGACAAAAUUUUAAAAAAUGGUCCAAUUAGUUGGUUCACACAAUAAACACUGAAUAAGCUAUUAGCCUAAAUUUUCCAUCUUCCAACUGGUGACUAUUGCAGCAUAUAGACAAAACUUAAGCUUCCUGAUUUACCAACUUAUGGUAUUCAUUCAACAAAACUGAGUGCCUGCUAGGCUAUUAUUAGCCCUGGGACAUUGUUUCACACAAACGCGAAGUCACUGCUUUCAUGGACACCUGACCAGUAGUAGAUAAGUAAACAAGCAAAUUAAAGAAGAAAAUAUCAAUUAAUGGUAAGUGCUUCUGGGUAACUGAAGUAAUGGGAUGCAGUGGAGAGUUCCUGGUUGGCUAGUUUAGGAAUCCAGCCAUGUGAAGACCUGGACCUGUAGGAGAAUUCCAGAUGAGUGAACAGGUACAGCAAUGUUCUUGAGGCAGGAAUGCAUGUGGCUGAACCAAGUCCAGUGGCUCAUUCACUCAUACACUCAACCAAAGAGUGCAGUCAAGGGAUCCCAGCUUCUGUCCUGGAGUCUGAUUUAUCUACAAAUUUAAGGAAGUCCCUCUUAGUUCUAACUGUCAGCCUUUAGCCCUCAAACGCCUAGGGUCAUACUCACCCACUUCUCCAUCUGUGGUUCUUUUGGCUCCUCAGUGGGAAAUCUCUACAUAAUCAGGGCUUGCUUGGCGCAGCCACUAUGCAUCUCCCUCCUUGCUUUUCCAAGAAGGUCUCUGUUUACACACUUCAAUGCCUGGCACCCGUUGGUUGUCAGGUUCAUUCACUGGACCCUCAGCCAAGCUUCUCCAUUUAGCUUUCUCUCUCUUUCUUCACAAAUCUAUUACUGCCAGUUCCAUUCCAUUUACUUUGACAUGGAUUGUGCUAAAAUACUGAGGAUAGAAAAGAUUAAAAGCACAGAGCUUCAGAGUUGAAGGAGAAGUCGGCAUCGUCCUUUGUGAGACAUGUUGUGGUUUCUGUGGCCAAGGCCCCUGAUGCUUUGCUCUAAAGAGCCUGGACAGGGAAGGAUCUGGAAGCUGUUGAGAUUCUCAGUAUUUCCAGCCUAAUUCUUUUCUAAGUGUUUCAAGUUGUGCCAUACUCUAGUUGCUCACUGCCUAGACUAUGUUUCUCAAAGGUUUAUAAUAAAGCACCAAGCCUUUUCUGAAAAUUCCUGGGAAGCUUCUAGAUUUGUUCCUUGGUCAGCACAGCACCUAAGGUUUCUUCCUUUGUCUUGACUAUGUGGCUUUUGAAGGUUUCUUCUCUGGAAAACUUGAUGAAAAGGAGAUGUGAUUAUUAGCCACAGACAUUUUACAGGCAAGCAGGCCUUUGUUUUUAAAAUAUCUCUGGAAUCCAUCCACUUCAUUCCCUUAACCACUACUCCAGUCUGCCAUCUCCUCUCACAAGGACUAUAGCACUAGACUCAAAACUGUUCUCCUUUCAUUCAAUCUAUUCUCCACUCAGCAACCAGAGUGUCUGCUUCAAAAUGCUAGUCUGAUUUUGCCCUUUCCAUACUUAAAACCUUCUAGUGGUGUGCCUUUGCUCUAAGAAAAAGAUAAAAUGGAUAAAUUCCUCCAUGUUCUGGCCUCGUCAACUCCAUGGUCACCCUUCCAGACCUGUUUCCUUGCUGUGCCAUCUUGGGCAAUUUACUCGACAUCUCUGGGCUAUAUAGUUCCUUUCCCUAUAAAAUAAAGAGAACAGCACCUAUUGGCAAUUGGGGUCAUGUGUGCAAAAGGUCGGCAUAUGUGUGGGAGGCAUAGGCAAAGAGGAGACAAUUAUGGUAACUCCAUGUGGCUCCAUGUGGUUCCUCAUCUCAGCAGAUUCAGAGCUAAGCAGUCAUUUCUCUCGGGGCCAAGGACCCAUUUCAUUUGGAAUAGCUCUGGCCCAUAGGUUCUGACCCUACCAGGUGAAUCCUCAGGGCUUCAGAGUUUCCAAAAUGGAGGAGGUGGUCCAGGCUGGAAAGAUGAUGGAGGAGAGAGGGCUGCACCUGGUUAUAGUCAUGGUACAUCAGCCCACUGCUUAGCGGCCUUGCUCUCCUUGGGUCUACUGCCUCCAGAUUGCCAGAGAGGGCCCCCCAAGUGCAGUCCUUGGCCUUCAGGGUAAGCAGUCAUCUUGGUACUGCAAAGUCAUUUAUUAUUUACACCAUGUCAAAUAGCCUUGAAAAGUUGAUUAAUUGCCACUCAAGUUUCAAGGAUGGUAGUCUAUACUACUUUUCAAGGAAGUCUAUACUACUUUUUUGGUCCUAGGUGGACAAAUUUCCUCUAGCAUUUUAUGGCCUCCUAGUUUACCCAUUUCAGCUUAUUUCUUGAGUUGGAGCUAAUGAACUCUAGCUUAAAAUAGCAGUGGGUGGCCAGUGUUCUGGUGAGGCCUGAUCUGCCAAAGGAGAGCGCCCAUAAGCAGCCAGUCCUAAAGCUGGUAGGGACUCUGCAGGAGGUAGAAGUCAUGGUUGUAGUACUGUGUAGAUACUUACUCAUGAGAGCCAGGUGCAGAAUUUCACUAGGACACCGUCACAUCCUCAUGCAUUAAGUGCAAGAUCCUGUUUGCCCUUUUUUUUUUAAUUCAAAUUUAUUUAACAUAUAGUGUUAUAUUAGUUCCAGGUAUAUAGGAUGGUGAUUUAACAACUCUAUGCAUUACUCAGUGUUCAUCAUGAUAAAUGUACUCUUAA